CCCAAUCCGGAAGACUUUUGUUGCUCUCUUGUUCGUGUGCACGGAACAAUUCUUUCAGGAACACAACAAAUGCUGCGUUUUAUAAUGUUAUUGGAGUUCUGUUCACUCUCAAGGAUCACUUAUUUUCUCAAAUAAAAGUUGCAACGCCUAAAAAUAUGGAGACUCUUCCUUGUAUAAAUAAAGGUGAUCCUCGUCUAAAGCUGAAAGUGGAGAAUAGAAUGAAAAACAUUUUUGUAACGCAAUUUGAGGAAACUAGACAAGAAGAUGAAAAUGUCAAUCACAUACCUGUUAUAACAGAGACCGCUAGCAGAGUCCUGGAGACAGGAGUGAACACAUUACAGAGAACCCUCGUCCUGAAGAAGCAGGUGGAGGUGGAUGAAGUGGAUAGGCAGCUGGCACAGAAACGACAGGAAUUCAAAGGCCGCAUGCAGGCCCUUGCACAGAGGAAGGCAGAGCUAGAGCUGAAACAGCAGGCUACUAAAGACAGAGCUAAGAAAUUUGAGAAGUUUGUUGAGGACAAUGAGGUAAAGCGCCGUCGGGCCCUGAAGAAGUACCAGGCAGCAAGGAAGCAGAACGAUCUGAAGCAGAACGAGAAAGAAGAGUUCACUGAACAGCUGGAAAAACUGCAGGCCAGGCAGCAGUAUUUAAAGGACAGGGUGACCAAGUAUAAAAUGUACGAAGACUACAUGAUGAAAAUGUUAGAUUUUCUCCCGGAGAAUUACCUGGAGUAUGGGGCAGAUUCCCUGGUGAUGCCCAUCAUUCGGCGCCAUGAUACCCUGUCCCUCACUCAUCAGGACCUGGUGGAGCGCCUGGGCCAGCUGGUGGAAGAGCUGGAGCAGGGCCAGCGCAGCCUGGACAGCCUGAAGCAGGAGCAUAACACCAACAAGCUGAUGAUGAACAGGGAGCUGUCUGAACUGCAGACCCAAUGGGACAGAGACAAGGAGAAGAACAACCAGACUGAGAUAAAACUGAUGAUGCACCAAGGCCAGUCCAGAGACCAGGUUGAGGAAGUGGGUUGCCUGCUGAUAGCUGUGAAGAACCUUGCAGAGCAGUGCUACUUACAGCACUAUGGGCCUCUGGAAGAGAUAGACAUGCUGACGAUGAUGGAUAUGGUAAAGGAAUACAUUCUGGAGAGGGCAGACAUCGAGAUGAGAGCAACACGACUGAUAGACUCGGGCAACGUAUUGACGAGUGCCACAGAGCACAGAAGAUCACUGAAAAACAUUAACAGUAAAACACAACUGAAGAGCACCAGCAAGACCAGUGGGAGGAGUGGACUGUCUAGUUGAUCAAUGCCGAAUAGACCUUUUGCGAGUUUGUGGAGAAACACACAAAUACAACCAUAUGGACGCACGACCGUUUGUUUCAAGUAGAGAAGAAAUACCUACUGGAGGAGGAAGCUGCAAAGUAUUGGGAAGUGGAAACCAUGGCAAUGGAGUGUGACCAUAUAGAUAUCCUGGCUCUGUCGGAGGCCUUAGCAUCCACAUUGCUUCCAUUGAGGGGGAGACUGAUAGCGUCUGGCCCACCACACCAUUCCAGAGGGAACCCAGCCCUCCCUACACCUCCUCUAUAAAACAGCCCACUACGACAUUCUCUACCCACAUUAUUGCCAUUGAGGGGCCUGAUAAAGGACUCCACAUAUCUCAGGUUUACAGGAAGUUUAGUGUUAAUCAUUUAUUUGAAGAGUUAAAAAAAAUAAUUUGUAAAAGUUUGUAUUGUUCUGUAAUAUCGUGCAUUCGGAAAGUAUUCAGACCCCUUGACUUUUUCCACUUUGUUACAUUGCUUAUUCUAAAAUUGAUUCAAUAAUUUAUCUACAUACAAUACCCCAUAAUGACACAGUGAAAACAGGUUG
Oncorhynchus gorbuscha (pink salmon) is the source of this 1852-nucleotide RNA transcript. It is a transcript of the gene named coiled-coil domain-containing protein 42 homolog, with no coding region annotated. NCBI's taxonomy places the organism in Eukaryota, Metazoa, Chordata, Actinopteri, Salmoniformes, Salmonidae. The transcript is spliced from 11 exons. The record is from RefSeq and is a predicted model, not a curated record.